UUAUUAUGUCAGGUCGGCAAGGAAUAAAAUUAAUUUUACCAGAAUUGGCACCAAGUGGACAAAGAGAAAUGCCAACAUUUCUCGAGAUGUGUUUGUGUUUAUGCAGCUGAUGAGGUAAAAGAACCUAGAGGCUGGCACCACCUCUAGGAAUUUCCGACCUUGUUCCAAAGCACAAGGAUGAGUUCCAUCUUCCCUCAGCGAGCUCUAUGUAGGUGGCAAGAAUUUUGUGCUGAGCUCCUAGCCGACCCUGCCAUAAAACAAACCCAAUACAAUCUUAUUCACGUAAAGAUUGUUUUGUUUAAUAAUAUUCGGGAGACGGAUGGCUCAUAAAUGGUGAAGUAAACAAUGAAGAUGAUGCUCCAAAAUGAUGAAAAUCAAUUAUCUAAGGACCGCGAAUUGGUAGUAACCAUAUUGUCUUAUUCUUAUCCGUAUGUAAGAUCAGGACUCCAAAGACUUAAAAUAGAUGAUGUUCAAGUAACCAUUAAGUUACUUGAAGUAUUUCUAGUAUUUAUCUUUUUAUUUAUUGACCUGUAUAAUGUAUAUAAUACGCUUGUUUGUGUGUUAAAACAGGAUUCUGCAUUUUGGAACAGUUAUUCAUAAUUUACCAAUU
This is a long non-coding RNA of Daucus carota subsp. sativus, 610 nucleotides long. RefSeq lists it as uncharacterized. NCBI's taxonomy places the organism in Eukaryota, Viridiplantae, Streptophyta, Magnoliopsida, Apiales, Apiaceae. The record is from RefSeq and is a predicted model, not a curated record. The transcript has 3 exons.